GACGAACGCUGGCGGCGUGCUUAACACAUGCAAGUCGAACGGAAAGGCCCUGCUUUUGUGGGGUGCUCGAGUGGCGAACGGGUGAGUAACACGUGAGUAACCUGCCCUUGACUUUGGGAUAACUUCAGGAAACUGGGGCUAAUACCGGAUAGGAGCUCCUGCUGCAUGGUGGGGGUUGGAAAGUUUCGGCGGUUGGGGAUGGACUCGCGGCUUAUCAGCUUGUUGGUGGGGUAGUGGCUUACCAAGGCUUUGACGGGUAGCCGGCCUGAGAGGGUGACCGGCCACAUUGGGACUGAGAUACGGCCCAGACUCCUACGGGAGGCAGUAGUGGGGAAUAUUGCACAAUGGGCGGAAGCCUGAUGCAGCAACGCCGCGUGCGGGAUGACGGCCUUCGGGUUGUAAACCGCUUUCGCCUGCGACGAAGCGUGAGUGACGGUAAUGGGUAAAGAAGCACCGGCUAACUACGUG
This 468-nucleotide ribosomal RNA is filed under the name uncultured bacterium. RNAcentral's name for it is "partial 16S ribosomal RNA". It matches the Rfam family "Bacterial small subunit ribosomal RNA", at positions 28 to 507 of the family's 1533-position model. The record is from RNAcentral.